CCCGUCGAGGGGCGCUGCGACCGUUGGUGCAUGCGGAUCCGUCCGCAACCGCCUGCACAUCCCUGUGCAGACUGCUCAUCCAACGGCCAGGCUCGGCGGUUCCUUUCACAACGGCGCCCGGUUUGU
Molecule: non-coding RNA, 126 nt
Filed under: Rhodanobacter spathiphylli
Lineage: Bacteria; Pseudomonadati; Pseudomonadota; Gammaproteobacteria; Lysobacterales; Rhodanobacteraceae
Also listed under: 1 other name
Description: Rhodanobacter sp. SAH sequence
Rfam family: SAH (S-adenosyl-L-homocysteine) riboswitch aptamer
Source: RNAcentral